This is a non-coding RNA of Cajanus cajan (pigeon pea), 737 nucleotides long. The record is from RefSeq and is a predicted model, not a curated record. NCBI's taxonomy places the organism in Eukaryota, Viridiplantae, Streptophyta, Magnoliopsida, Fabales, Fabaceae.
UUAAAUACUGCCCUUGGACGACCAGAGCAUCCUAGUUGUGUUCGUACAGCUGGGGUUGCUGUUACUAUUGGUAAUUACUUUGGACCGUUAUCACAGGGGUCAUCCUUAUCUAGAUUGAGCCCACAGGAUCUUGAAGCCCUCACGCAACAAAUAUAUGCACGGGUCACAAAAACUUUAAUGGAAAAGUACCCAAAUAUGAGUACUGCAUAGUCACAGGAUGUUCCUCCAGUUGAGGUAGAUCAUGCUAUCGUGGCCCGUGUUAGCACUAAAGGCAGUUGUCAAACUCCUUCAACUGGUACUGUUCCUGGUAAUCCCUUUGGAGAUGAGGUUGAUGCAAAUAUCUCCAAUAAGUGUGAGUUAUGCAUUGAGGGGAUUCCUCCACUUGUAGUGGCCAUUGGUAGAGUUUGUGAGGGGAGUUCAACUAUACACAACGUGCCUUUGACAAAUGAUUUGGUCAAGGUGGUCAUUGAGGAAGUUCGAGAUUCUAAUGCUCGAGUUCCCAUACCUACUUCAGAGGUUCAAUUGGUUGGGCAGGCCUUAAAAACUUUCAUUGCGUGGCCGACACAUCUUGUCAGACCUAUUUCAACCACGGAUAUUCAUCGAGCAAAUAAACGAGUUCCAUCUAUUGAUAGGUCAGAACCUAAUGGUGAUCCUAUCACUGGGUUACGUGAGGUAACAAAGUCCUUACUUUUUGGACAACCAUUUCAGGUGAUAUGUCCUGCAAGUCUAUUUGGGAU